UGGGAUCUCAAGGUAGAUGUUAUGUCCAGACAGAGGCUGCUGUGAGCUGAAUCGUCUGCUUCCCAAAAUUCCUAUGUUGACACCUUAACCCCCAGCACCUAAGAAUGAGACUAUAUUUGGAGAUAGCAUCAUCACAGAGUCUCAGGAAUGUCUUUAUCAGCAGUAUGAAAAUGAACCAAUUCAUCCCACUUCACUGUUUGAAGAAAAACUGCUGGCUCUAUGGGGUCUUCAAUUUACUGAAUGAUUCCUAGAUGCCUGGCCCUAAUUCACUCGAGAGUCAAGAAAGGUGCCACCUUAUGGUGCUCACUGGGCGGUUGUGGAUGUCUAACCUCAGUGCUAGUCACACAGAACCUGAAGCCAGGCUGGCUGCUCCUGUAAAUGGCAUGGAAUCCCAGGGAAUAUCCUGCAUUCUCAGUGUCCAGCUGUCUGAUGCCACAGUUGUUUAUGAUGAUCGAGGACAACUACGUUUUUCUGAGGAGACUUACCACCUCAUGGCUGAGGCAUUCACAAAAAAAUAGCUCACGUUAUGUUUUGCUUAUUUGCAAGCCAACAAGAUGAGGUCCCUGAGGAUGUCUAACUGAUUCUGUCCACUCGGGAAUGUUUCGGACUUGGUCUUCCUUUUAAUAUACUUUAUAAAUCAUUUUGUAAUUUUUACCUCCUACCCAUUCUGUAACAGGUAACACAACUGACCAGAAGAAAAACAGCCUAGAUCCUGAGCAUUCAGCCCGUGCCUUCACACAACAAACACCACCUGAGUCCCAUCAAAGCCUGUGUUGUUUCCCAACAUUCACCAUUGAGACAUAUUCCAGAGCAGCCUCUCAAAAUCACCUAAACAAGAUGGAACAAGGUAAAUUAUUUCAAAACUAAAAGAAAACAUAGAAAUGCUGGGCCAUUCAAUCCGGGGAAUUACAGAAUGUUUAGCAC
Molecule: long non-coding RNA, 924 nt
Organism: Gorilla gorilla gorilla (western lowland gorilla)
Lineage: Eukaryota; Metazoa; Chordata; Mammalia; Primates; Hominidae
Exons: 6
Source: RefSeq, a predicted model, not a curated record